CUUGCUGGGUGGAUUAGUGGCGAACGGGUGAGUAACACGUGAGUAACCUGCCCCUGACUCUGGGAUAAGCGUUGGAAACGACGUCUAAUACUGGAUAUGAUCACUGGCCGCAUGGUCUGGUGGUGGAAAGAUUUUUUGGUUGGGGAUGGACUCGCGGCCUAUCAGCUUGUUGGUGAGGUAAUGGCUCACCAAGGCGACGACGGGUAGCCGGCCUGAGAGGGUGACCGGCCACACUGGGACUGAGACACGGCCCAGACUCCUACGGGAGGCAGCAGUGGGGAAUAUUGCACAAUGGGCGAAAGCCUGAUGCAGCAACGCCGCGUGAGGGAUGACGGCCUUCGGGUUGUAAACCUCUUUUAGUAGGGAAGAAGCGAAAGUGACGGUACCUGCAGAAAAAGCACCGGCUAACUACGUGCCAGCAGCCGCGGUAAUACGUAGGGUGCAAGCGUUGUCCGGAAUUAUUGGGCGUAAAGAGCUCGUAGGCGGUUUGUCGCGUCUGCUGUGAAAUCCCGAGGCUCAACCUCGGGCUUGCAGUGGGUACGGGCAGACUAGAGUGCGGUAGGGGAGAUUGGAAUUCCUGGUGUAGCGGUGGAAUGCGCAGAUAUCAGGAGGAACACCGAUGGCGAAGGCAGAUCUCUGGGCCGUAACUGACGCUGAGGAGCGAAAGCAUGGGGAGCGAACAGGAUUAGAUACCCUGGUAGUCCAUGCCGUAAACGUUGGGCGCUAGAUGUAGGGACCUUUCCACGGUUUCUGUGUCGUAGCUAACGCAUUAAGCGCCCCGCCUGGGGAGUACGGCCGCAAGGCUAAAACUCAAAGGAAUUGACGGGGGCCCGCACAAGCGGCGGAGCAUGCGGAUUAAUUCGAUGCAACGCGAAGAACCUUACCAAGGCUUGACAUACACCGGAAACGGCCAGAGAUGGUCGCCCCCUUGUGGUCGGUGUACAGGUGGGUGCAUGGUUGUCGUCAGCUCGUGUCGNGAGAUGUUGGGUUAAGUCCCGCAACGAGCGCAACCUUCGUUCUAUGUUGCCAGCGGGGUUAUGCCGGGGGACUCAUAAGAAGAC
RNAcentral lists this ribosomal RNA (1061 nucleotides) under Curtobacterium flaccumfaciens. Its description in RNAcentral is "bacterial SSU rRNA". It matches the Rfam family "Bacterial small subunit ribosomal RNA", at positions 79 to 1149 of the family's 1533-position model. The record is from RNAcentral. Lineage: Bacteria; Bacillati; Actinomycetota; Actinomycetes; Micrococcales; Microbacteriaceae.